AUUAGUUGCCAGCAUUUAGUUGGGCACUCUAAUGAGACUGCCGGUGAUAAACCGGAGGAAGGUGGGGACGACGUCAGAUCAUCAUGCCCCUUAUGACCUGGGCAACACACGUGCUACAAUGGGAAGUACAACGAGUCGCAAACCGGCGACGGUAAGCUAAUCUCUUAAAACUUCUCUCAGUUCGGACUGGAGUCUGCAACUCGACUCCACGAAGGCGGAAUCGCUAGUAAUCGCGAAUCAGCAUGUCGCGGUGAAUACGUUCCCGGGUCUUGUACACACCGCCCGUCAAAUCAUGGGAGUCGGAAGUACCCAAAGUCGCUUGGCUAACUUUUAGAGGCCGGUGCCUAAGGUAAAAUCGAUGACUGGGAUUAAGUCGUAACAAGGUAGCCGUAGGAGAACCUGCGGCUGGAUCACCUCCUUUCUAAGGA
RNAcentral lists this ribosomal RNA (428 nucleotides) under Oenococcus oeni. RNAcentral describes it as "bacterial SSU rRNA". It matches the Rfam family "Bacterial small subunit ribosomal RNA", at positions 1110 to 1533 of the family's 1533-position model. Lineage: Bacteria; Bacillati; Bacillota; Bacilli; Lactobacillales; Lactobacillaceae. The record is from RNAcentral.